Molecule: ribosomal RNA, 810 nt
Filed under: uncultured bacterium
Lineage: Bacteria
Description: bacterial SSU rRNA
Rfam family: Bacterial small subunit ribosomal RNA
Source: RNAcentral
AGAGUUUGAUCAUGGCUCAGAACGAACGCUGGCGGCGUGGAUAAGACAUGCAAGUCGGACGAGAUUUUCCGUUGUAGCAAUACAGUGGAAAGUCUAGUGGCGAACGGGUGCUUAACACGUGGGCAACCUGCCAGGAAGUGGGGGAUAGCUCGCCGAAAGGCGAAUUAAUACCGCAUGUGAUCAGAGAGGACAUCCUUUCGAAAUUAAAGGUGGCGCAAGCUACCGCUUCUUGUGGGGCCCGCGGCCUAUCAGCUAGUUGGUGAGGUAACGGCUCACCAAGACGAUGACGGGUAGCUGGUCUGAGAGGACGACCAGCCACACUGGGACUGAGACACGGCCCAGACACCUACGGGUGGCAGCAGUCGAGAAUUUUUGACAAUGGGGGAAACCCUGAUCGAGCGACGCCGCGUGGAGGAUGAAGGUCCUCGGAUUGUAAACUCCUGUCAUUGGGGAACAAGGUGCAUACGUUAACUGCGUGUGCAUUGAUAGUACCCGAAGAGGAAGAGACGGCUAACUCUGUGCCAGCAGCCGCGGUAAUACAGAGGUCUCAAGCGUUGUUCGGAUUCAUUGGGCGUAAAGGGUGCGUAGGCGGCGCGGUAAGUCGGGUGUGAAAUCUCGGGGCUUAACUCCGAAACUGCAUUCGAUACUGCCGUGCUUGAGGACUGGAGAGGAGACUGGAAUUUACGGUGUAGCGGUGAAAUGCGUAGAUAUCGUAAGGAAGACCAGUGGCGAAGGCGGGUCUCUGGACAGUUCCUGACGCUGAGGCACGAAGGUCAGGGGAGCAAACGGGAUUAGAUACCCUAGUAGUCC